This 580-nucleotide long non-coding RNA is filed under the name Gallus gallus (chicken). The record is from RNAcentral. Lineage: Eukaryota; Metazoa; Chordata; Aves; Galliformes; Phasianidae.
CUGCAAUCUGUAAGUGCAUGAAUUUCCUCCAGGCUGUCCAGCACCUGUGAGACUGCUCCUGAGGAGGUAGGAUCUUCAGAGAAGUCGGGCAACUCUUCAGGGGGAUCACCAUAGAAGGAGUUGAAUUUGUGGCUUGACACAGCUGCUAGUACUGCCCCCUUUAGUUUUCGUCUUGCAUUGAAUUUUCUCAAUUGUUCUACUGUCUCUGGAAGAUGAAUCUUGUAUGCAUAGCGAUCUCUCUCCUUCAACCAGGGAUGAUUCAGUGCUUCAUAUACUGUUAUCCUUUCUGCUGGAUCCAGCAUAAGCAUGCGGCGUACCAGAUCUUUGGCACUUUCAGAAAUAUGGCUCCACUGCCGAGGAUUCAUCUUGUAUUUUCCUUUAAUAAUGCCUUCAAACAAUCUUUCCUUGGUUCCAUAAAAAGGCAAACAACCACUUAGCAGGAUAAAAAGGAUGACACCACAACCCCAAACAUCUACAGGCUUCCCAUAAGGUUCCCUUUUCACCACUUCUGGGGCCAUAAAAUGAGGUGUUCCUACACGUCCUCCAGCAACUAGCCCAGAUUCUCCUAAUUGAAUUGCUA